Molecule: long non-coding RNA, 149 nt
Organism: Patella vulgata (common limpet)
Lineage: Eukaryota; Metazoa; Mollusca; Gastropoda; Patellidae
Exons: 3
Source: RefSeq, a predicted model, not a curated record
UGCAGCUGAGUAAGAAAUCCUGACAGUAACACUGAUAUUCGGUGAACAUUAAUGAUUAAGAAUAUAGACUAUUAACGUUUUACGGAUGACGAUGGCUACAGGAGACCAUACAGUGUCACUGAAGGCGAUGCCAACCAAAGAACGUAAUG